Molecule: ribosomal RNA, 267 nt
Filed under: uncultured Desulfuromonadales bacterium
Lineage: Bacteria; Pseudomonadati; Thermodesulfobacteriota; Desulfuromonadia; Desulfuromonadales
Description: partial 16S ribosomal RNA
Rfam family: Bacterial small subunit ribosomal RNA
Source: RNAcentral
AGUUACCAGCAUUAAGUUGGGGACUCUAGGGAGACCGCCGGUGUUAAACCGGAGGAAGGUGGGAUGACGUCAAGUCCUCAUGGCCUUUAUGUCUGGGGCUACACACGUACUACAAUGGCUGCCACAGAGGGAUGCGAAGUCGUGAGGCGAAGCAAAUCUCAAAAAAGCAGCCUCAGUUCAGAUUGCAGUCUGCAACUCGACUGCAUGAAGGUGGAAUCGCUAGUAAUCGCAGAUCAGCACGCUGCGGUGAAUACGUUCCCGGGCCUU